This 2003-nucleotide ribosomal RNA is filed under the name bacterium. RNAcentral's name for it is "partial 23S ribosomal RNA". It matches the Rfam family "Bacterial large subunit ribosomal RNA", at positions 913 to 2925 of the family's 2925-position model. The record is from RNAcentral.
AAUUGGAUGGGGGCCCUUCCCGGGUACCUCACCGAACCAAACUCCGAAUACCAUUGUCCGUACCCCGGGAGUCAGUCCGCGAGGGAUAAGCUUCGCGGUCGAGAGGGAAACAACCCAGACCAUCUGCUAAGGUCCCCAAGUAAAACUCAGUCACUAAGGAAGUGAUUUUGCUAUGACAGCCAGGAUGUUGGCUUAGAAGCAGCCAUCAUUUAAAAAGUGCGUAACAGCUUACUGGUCGAGCAAUUUUGCGCCGAUAAUGAACGGGAGUAAGUUUUACACCGAAGCAGUGGGAUCCACUUGUGGAUCGGUAGGAGAGCGCUGUACGUCAGAUACAAGUCGCACCGUAAGGAGCGAUGGUGGGGCGUACAGGUGAUUAUGCCGGAAUGAGUAACGAUAAAGCAGGUGAGAAUCCUGCUCGCCGAAAGCCUAAGGUUUCCUGGGGAAGGUAAAUCCGCCCAGGGUUAGCCGGUUCCUUAGUCGAGGCCGAAAGGCGUAGACGAUGGAUAGCAGGUCAACAUUCCUGCGCCACAUGCCGGACUGAUGGAGGGACGGCGUCUGAAAGGUGAGGGGACGGAUAGAAAUGUCCCUCGCCUGUGUGUAGGGUAGCUGUAGGCAAAUCCGCAGCGACAUCCUGAAGCAUGGGACAAAGACGUUUAUGUUUCGAUAGUCACCAGAAGGACGUCCAAGAAAAGCUUCUAGGGUUGAUGGCAUGUGACCGUACUAAAACUGACACAGGUAGGCGGGACGAGAAGUCCUAGGCGCUCGGGAGAACACUGGUUAAGGAACUCUGCAAAAUGGCCCCGUAAGUUCGCGAUAAGGGGUGCCCUCUUUGGUUAACGCUGAGGAGGGUCACAGUAAAUCGGCAUCAGCGACUGUUUAUCAAAAACACAGGACUCUGCUAACUCGCAAGAGGAUGUAUAGAGUCUGACGCCUGCCCGGUGCUGGUAGGUUAAGGAAGAGGGUUAGCCGCAAGGCGAAGCUCGCAACUGAAGCCCCAGUAAACGGCGGCCGUAACUAUGACGGUCCUAAGGUAGCGAAGUUCCUUGUCGGGUAAGUUCCGACCUGCAUGAAAGGCGUAACGACUGAUGCACUGUCUCAACCAGUGACCCGGUGAAAUUGUAGCCGUGGUGAAGAUGCCACGUACCCGCAGUAUGACGGAAAGACCCCGUGAACCUUUACUGUAGGCUGAUAUUGGUCUUGGACGUGUUCUGUGUAGGAUAGGUGGGAGGCUUUGAAGCAGUGACGCUAGUCAUUGUGGAGCCAACGUUGAAAUACCACCCUGGAUUCGUUUGAGUUCUAACGCUGAUUCCCGUGAAACCGGGCAGCGGACAGUUUCAGUUGGGCAGUUUGACUGGGGCGGUCUCCUCCUAAAGAGUAACGGAGGAGUUCAAAGGUACCCUCAGCCUGGUUGGCAAUCAGGCAUUGAGCGCAAAGGUAGAAGGGUGCUUGACUGCGAGACUCAUAAGUCGAGCAGAUACGAAAGUAGGACUUAGUGAUCCGGUGGUUCUGAAUGGAAGGGCCAUCGCUCAUCAGAUAAAAGGUACUCCGGGGAUAACAGGCUUAUCGCUUCCGAGCGUCCAUAGCGGCGAAGCGGUUUGGCACCUCGAUGUCGGCUCAUCACAUCCUGGGGGUGGAGAAGCUCCCAAGGGUUUGGCUGUUCGCCAAUGAAAGUGGUACGUGAGCUGGGUUCAGACCGUCGUGAGACAGGUCGGUCCCUAUCUGCUGUGGGCGUACGAAACUUGCGAGGAUUCUUCUUUAGUACGAGAGGAUUUGGAAGGACGUUCCUCUGGUGUACCAGUUGUCGCGCUAGCGGCAUGGCUGGAUAGCUAAGAACGGAAAGGAUAAACGCUGAAAGCAUAUAAGCGUGAAGCCCGCCUCAAGAUCAGGUUUCGUAGGGUUUUUAACCCGAAAGUCCCCUGAAAGACGAUCAGGUUAAUAGGCCGGAUGUGUACGUGCAGUAAUGCACUCAGCUAACCGGUACUAACGGACGAUUGCUUGACCAC